This 301-nucleotide ribosomal RNA is filed under the name uncultured bacterium. RNAcentral's name for it is "partial 16S ribosomal RNA". It matches the Rfam family "Bacterial small subunit ribosomal RNA", at positions 509 to 807 of the family's 1533-position model. The record is from RNAcentral.
CAGUAGCCACGGGAAUACGGAGGGGGCUAGCGUUGUUCGGAAUUACUGGGCGUAAAGCGCACGUAGGCGGCUUGGUAAGUUAGAGGUGAAAGCCCGGAGCUCAACUCCGGAAUUGCCUUUAAGACUGCCGAGCUAGCAGGUGAGAGAGGUAAGUGGAAUUCCGAGUGUAGAGGUGAAAUUCGUAGAUAUUCGGAAGAACACCGGUGGCGAAGGCGGCAACCUGGUCCAUUACUGACGCUGAGGCGCGAUAGCGUGGGGAGCAAACAGGAUUAGAUACCCCUGUAGUCCCUGUCUCUUAUAC